RNAcentral lists this ribosomal RNA (451 nucleotides) under uncultured bacterium. Its description in RNAcentral is "partial 16S ribosomal RNA". It matches the Rfam family "Bacterial small subunit ribosomal RNA", at positions 28 to 507 of the family's 1533-position model. The record is from RNAcentral.
GAUGAAUGCUGGCGGCGUGCCUAACACAUGCAAGUCGAGCGGCAGCGAGGGGUGCUUGCACCCUGUCGGCGAGCGGCGAACGGCUGAGUAACGCGUAGGAAUUUGCCCCAAAGUGAGGAAUAACUGCCCGAAAGGGUAGCUAAUGCCGCAUAUGGUCUUCGGAUUAAAGGAUUUAUCCGCUUUGGGAGAAGCCUGCGUUGGAUUAGGUUGUUGGUAGGGUAAUGGCCUACCAAGCCGACGAUCCAUAGCUGGUCUGAGAGGAUGAUCGGCCAGACUGGAACUGAGACACGGUCCAGACUCCUACGGGAGGCAGCAGUGAGGAAUCUUCCACAAUGGGCGAAAGCCUGAUGGAGCAACGCCGCGUGAAGGAUGAAGGCCUUCGGGUUGUAAACUUCUUUUAUGAGUGAAGAAUAUGACGGUAACUCAUGAAUAAGCACCGGCUAACUACGUG